UACUGUCCCUGAAACAGAUCCUGUUGAGCACUGAGGAAGACAGUGGAGCAGGGCCUCCCCGCGAUGGGGAUGGGGUGCCUGGUGGUGGUGCCCCAGGCCCAACACACACCCAGGAGGUUGAGGAAAACCUGUUGAGCCUAGAAGUGGUCAUCAAACAACUGGAGGAGUUAGAAGAGGAAUUUUGUCGCCUAAGACCCUUCCUGUCUCAGCUUGGGGAGAUUCUGUCCCCCAACCUGGCUGCACCUGAGCGCUCUGCUCAGACAGGUGAGUGGGGAACUGGCGUCAGGGUGCUGUCCCAAGGGCCAGAAAGGGAACUGAGGUCAUGGUGCUAUCCCGAGGGCCAGAAAGGGAACUGGGGUCACAGUGCUGUCCCGAGGGCCGGGAGAGGAACUGGGGUCACAGUGCUGUCCCAAGGGGUGGGAGGGGAACUGGGGUUACAGUGCUGUCCCGAGGGGCAGGAGGGGAACUGAGGUCAGGGUGCUGUCCCGAGGGGUGGGAGGGGUACCCUUGACCCACAGUUGCCUGUCUCCCAUCAGCCCUAUCUUCCUCCUUUCUUCCCUCUCUCCAUGUUUGUUACCCUCAGGCCUUUCAUGAAGAGAAGAAUGGGGGAGAGGAUGCAAGGGGCCCCCAAGCCCCACAGCUUCCAUAGCAUCACACCCCAGGGGCUUUGAGAAGAGGAGAUUGGCUGAACUUGAUAGUGGACCUGCUCGGGUCCCUGCCUCCCACCCUGGCCUCUGCCUUUCUCCCUCCUGCCUUCUGCUUGGGGGACUCAGGACUUCACUUCCAGAGUACCCUCAUAAUCCCCAUUUUUCAGGCCACCUCAGUAUUGCCUAUGGGGAGGGGUCACCCCUCCAUUCCCUACCCCAAGUGCCUUUGCUGUUUUUAUAUCCUGAAUUGGAGGUUUAUUUUUAAUAU
RNAcentral lists this long non-coding RNA (915 nucleotides) under Rattus norvegicus (Norway rat). RNAcentral's name for it is "long non-coding RNA NONRATT000480". Lineage: Eukaryota; Metazoa; Chordata; Mammalia; Rodentia; Muridae. The record is from RNAcentral.